CAGCACUUUGAAUGACAAUUUACUAAAAUUGGAAUGGCACAGAGAAGAUUAGCAUGACCCCUGCACAAGGAUGACAUGCAAAUUCACGAAGCAUUCUGUAUUUUA
Molecule: small nuclear RNA, 105 nt
Organism: Callithrix jacchus (white-tufted-ear marmoset)
Lineage: Eukaryota; Metazoa; Chordata; Mammalia; Primates; Cebidae
Source: Ensembl